CCCGGUGGCUGUGGCGGAGGGGUACCACCCGUUCCCAUCCCGAACACGGCAGUUAAGCCCUCCAGCGCCGAUGGUACUGCACUGGCAACGGUGUGGGAGAGUAGGUCGUUGCCGGGA
Molecule: ribosomal RNA, 117 nt
Filed under: Acidobacteriota bacterium
Lineage: Bacteria; Pseudomonadati; Acidobacteriota
Source: RNAcentral